AGGGGGCUAGCGUUGUUCGGGAUUACUGGGCGUAAAGCGCGCGCAGGCGGUUUUUCAAGUCAGUUGUGAAAGCCCGGAGCUCAACUCCGGAAAUGCCAUUGAAACUGUUAAACUUGAGGAUGAGAGAGGUGAGUGGAAUUCCCAGUGUAGAGGUGAAAUUCGUAGAUAUUGGGAAGAACACCGGUGGCGAAGGCGGCUCACUGGCUCAUUACUGACGCUCAGGCGCGACAGCGUGGGGAUCAAACAGG
Molecule: ribosomal RNA, 248 nt
Filed under: uncultured bacterium
Lineage: Bacteria
Description: partial 16S ribosomal RNA
Rfam family: Bacterial small subunit ribosomal RNA
Source: RNAcentral